RNAcentral lists this ribosomal RNA (253 nucleotides) under uncultured Rikenellaceae bacterium. Its description in RNAcentral is "partial 16S ribosomal RNA". It matches the Rfam family "Bacterial small subunit ribosomal RNA", at positions 524 to 776 of the family's 1533-position model. Lineage: Bacteria; Pseudomonadati; Bacteroidota; Bacteroidia; Bacteroidales; Rikenellaceae. The record is from RNAcentral.
UACGGAGGAUGCGAGCGUUAUCCGGAUUUAUUGGGUUUAAAGGGUGCGUAGGCGGUCGGAUAAGUUAGAGGUGAAAUCCCGAGGCUCAACUUCGGAAUUGCCUCUGAUACUGUUCGGCUAGAGAGUAGUUGCGGUAGGCGGAAUGUAUGGUGUAGCGGUGAAAUGCUUAGAGAUCAUACAGAACACCGAUUGCGAAGGCAGCUUACCAAGCUACUUCUGACGCUGAAGCUCGAAAGCGCGGGUAUCGAACAGG